Molecule: ribosomal RNA, 779 nt
Filed under: uncultured Neocallimastigales
Lineage: Eukaryota; Fungi; Neocallimastigomycota; Neocallimastigomycetes; Neocallimastigales
Description: partial large subunit ribosomal RNA
Rfam family: Eukaryotic large subunit ribosomal RNA
Source: RNAcentral
UCGUCUAUAUACGUAUAGCAUAUCAAUAAGCGGAGGAAAAGAAACUAACUAAGGAUUCCCUCAGUAACGGCGAGUGAAGCGGGAAGAGCUCAAAUUUGAAAUCUUCAAGGUUUUACCUUGACGAAUUGUAGUUUAAAGAAGUGUUUUCUGUUGAAGUUUCGGUAAAAGUUCUUUGGAAUAGGACAUCAUAGAGGGUGAGAAUCCCGUAUUUGACCAGUUAUUUUCCAGCUGUGUGAUACACUUUCAAAGAGUCGGAUUGUUUGGGAAUGCAGUCCAAAAUGGGUGGUAAAUUUCAUCUAAAGCUAAAUACUGGCGAGAGACCGAUAGCGAACAAGUACCGUGAGGGAAAGAUGAAAAGAACUUUGAAAAGAGAGUUAAACAGUACGUGAAAUUGUCAAAAGGGAAGCGUUUGACACCAGUGUUGUUUUCUCGAAAAUCAAUUAAAAAUGGUGGAUUUUGUGUUGUAUUGACUUUAAUCAGCUUUCUUCACUUUUUUCCUGUCUUUUUUAAUGCACUUUUCGUUUAACAAGUCAACAUCAAUUUCUUUUGUUGUAAAAGAGUCAUUGGAAGGUGGCUUUCUUUUCGGAGAAAGUGUUUAUAGCCUUUGACUUCUGCAAUCGGAGAGAUUGAGGUCUGCAGCGUAGAUCCUUCUGGAUUAGAUUCAUUUGUGCUAAGUUAUAGCCUUUUCAUAGACAACUUGUUGACUAUGAUCAGUCAUGUAGCUUACUCGCUUAUGUCAUUUUACCUACGCUUAGGAUGUUGAUCUGUAGUGCGUGCGC